ACAUUGGGACUGAGACACGGCCCAGACUCCUACGGGAGGCAGCAGUGGGGAAUAUUGCACAAUGGGGGAAACCCUGAUGCAGCAACACGCCGCGUGAGUGAUGACGGCCUUCGGAUUGUAAACUCUGUCUUUGGGGACGAUAAUGACGGUACCCAAGGAGGAAGCCACGGCUAACUA
This 177-nucleotide ribosomal RNA is filed under the name uncultured Eubacterium sp. Its description in RNAcentral is "partial 16S ribosomal RNA". It matches the Rfam family "Bacterial small subunit ribosomal RNA", at positions 310 to 503 of the family's 1533-position model. The record is from RNAcentral. Lineage: Bacteria; Bacillati; Bacillota; Clostridia; Eubacteriales; Eubacteriaceae.